RNAcentral lists this unclassified non-coding RNA (21 nucleotides) under Mus musculus (house mouse). Its description in RNAcentral is "oocyte_clustered_small_RNA9930". The record is from RNAcentral. Lineage: Eukaryota; Metazoa; Chordata; Mammalia; Rodentia; Muridae.
AAGCCAGUGCGCAUGCGUCUC